Molecule: non-coding RNA, 858 nt
Organism: Paramuricea clavata
Lineage: Eukaryota; Metazoa; Cnidaria; Anthozoa; Malacalcyonacea; Plexauridae
Source: the annotation of a GenBank genome assembly
GGCAUUUGAUGUUCGUAAAUAAUAUAAAUAUUUAUUGUACUGUACCUGUACAGUAUAUACUGUACUGUUCACGUUUUAAAAUAAAGUAUAUAACACAUAAUAAAACAAGUUGGUUAACAUGUUAUGAUACUGUUAGUAAUGGAAUUAUCAUCACUUGUCUGAGCUGUUACAAGUAAUCUUCGUCACUGCCUUAAUAAUUACCUGUCCAAUAAUAAGGAAGGUGGCUUAUACAUGGGGGCUUAUAUUUGGGGGAGGGCAGGGGUUAUAUUUGGACUGGCCUAAGCAUUAGUAAAUGUGGUGGACUUAAACACAAUGGGGUUAUAUUGGGGGGGGGGGCUUUAAUUCAGAGGUUUACAGUGUGACAAAAAAGCAACAGGGAGGUAGCUUUAUGAGACGAUAUGAUUAUGGCUUAAUAUCCCAGUGGUUACUACUGUAAGCUUGUGAUAUCCAAUAGUCCAAAUUUAAAAUAUGAUAUCCAAUGGUUAUGACUGUAACUUCCUGUGUUUAUAACAUACUGUAGUUUUAAAAAGCCAUUGGAAAUAAUACUGACAUCAGUAAUAUUUUCAAGACUCUAAUUGAAGCAGGAAGAAUUGUGUUGACUGGAAACUUUUAGUAGAGUAUGUGACACUUUUAAAAUGAAUAUAUACUGCACAGAACAUAUAUGAUAGUCCUCUUUGUAGCUUUGAUUUUAGAAUUUUGUGAUAUAUGUCACAUGAAAACAAUUAUAGUAAUUUUGAUACUUUGGCUUAGCUGUCUAGAUCACCACUUGAUUAAUUAUUGUGCAGGUGACAAAUUAGCUUAUGCAUGUAUCUUGUUACCUAUAAGUGGUGCACAUGUUAAAAAGGUUUGUUUGACUUG